AGCAGCCGCGGUAAUUCCAGCUCCAAUAGCGUAUAUUAAAGUUGUUGCAGUUAAAAAGCUCGUAGUUGAAUUUCGGGGUUAGUAGGUUGGUCAUGCCUCUGGUAUGUACUGGUCUCACUGAUUCCUCCUUCCUGAUGAACCUUAAUGCCAUUAAUUUGGUGUUUUGGGGAAUUUGGACUGUUACUUUGAAAAAAUUAGAGUGUUUAAAGCAAGCUAACGCUUGAAUACAUUAGCAUGGAAUAAUGAAAUAGGACGUUCGAUCCUAUUUUGUUGGUUUCUAGGAUUGACGUAAUGAUUAAUAGGGAUAGUUGGGGGCAUUAGUAUUCAAUUGUCAGAGGUGAAAUUCUUGGAUUUAUUGAAGACUAACUACUGCGAAAGCAUUUGCCAAGGAUGUUUUCAUUAAUCAAGAACGAAAGUUAGGGGAUCGAAGACGAUCAGAUACCGUCGUAGUCUUAACCAUAAACUAUGCCGACUAGGGAUCGGAUGAUGUUAAUUUUUUAAUGACUC
RNAcentral lists this ribosomal RNA (507 nucleotides) under uncultured Glomeromycotina. RNAcentral's name for it is "SSU rRNA". It matches the Rfam family "Eukaryotic small subunit ribosomal RNA", at positions 569 to 1077 of the family's 1831-position model. The record is from RNAcentral. Lineage: Eukaryota; Fungi; Glomeromycota.